Long non-coding RNA from Mytilus californianus (California mussel), 913 nucleotides. RefSeq lists it as uncharacterized. Lineage: Eukaryota; Metazoa; Mollusca; Bivalvia; Mytilida; Mytilidae. The transcript has 3 exons. The record is from RefSeq and is a predicted model, not a curated record.
UUAUAAAUUGUAACCGUACUAAAAAAAAUGAAAAACAACAAUGAUUGCAACUGCUUCUGUGAAAGAUAUUUGUAUGACAAAAUUGUGGGUUAAAUUGAUUUUUGAGACAAUUAACCUAUCGAAUUCAUUUUUUCUACAUUUAAAAUUAUUUGUAAAAUUUAUUUUUAUUAGUUAACAAACAUCAAGUACAUCAUGUGCUACUGACUUCAAAUUGUUCUCGAUACAUACAUAUUGGUUAAUCUAAUUUUAGUUAUUACCCAUACAUCACAUACUGUGAUACAGAGCAUGGUUUGCUCUUACAUGUACUAAACACAACACAUGUUUAUACUUCACAAAGAGCAUAUCGGACAUGUCCGAGGCAGUAACUUUUAUUUUUGCCAAAUUAAUACUUUCUUCAUUCAUCUGUUAGGCAAAUCAAGAAUUUGUACAAAUCCUUUAGUACAGUUAUGAAUUUCUAUCACAUUUUUUUUUAUUGAGCUGAGGUCUAAACAUUUUGUUAACAAUAAAUCACGGUUCAUCUUGUAUAUGUAUCAUAUUCACUUUUACCACACCCCUUGAUAGAAUAAAUUUCAUACUCAUGUAUUUCUUGUUUAUAUCUCUAGGUGCUGCAACCUUCAUGACAAUUGUUAUGGAAGAUUACAGAAUUAUGGAUGUCGUCAUGUGCUACUAAGUAAAUAUGACUGGACACUGGUUAAUUAUCAGAUUGUGUGUCCUUAUGUAACCACUUUGAAGGCAAGGACCAUUCCUAAGACACCAAAAUCAAUCUCUGACGGAAUACAAGAAGUGGACAAGGAUUUCUGUCACCAAGCAACUUGUGAAUGUGACAAAAAUUUGGCAUACUGCCUUGGACAUUAUAACAUUUAUUAUAAUAAGGAACUUCAAUCAAAAUCUAAGUUACUGCAAUUCAUUCAUA